CAACAACACAGUUAGCAGUAGAAGGAAGCCAAGACACAUCAGCAACAACCAGACAACAAUAGAAUAAGAAUUUUCUAGAAGAAGAGAAUAAGGAAUUCUGUAAUCUAUAGUAUUUUCUGUUAUCUAAAUGUGCAUAGCAUGUAUAUAUUAACAUUCCUAUAAUAUAAUGUGACAAUAAAAAAUGACAUGUAACACUCACAAUUUCUUGUUCCGAAGCCCUACUUGGAUAUUUAGAUUUUCAACUUGUCGAACAUAUCCUCUCAGUUUGCCAAUUGCACUGAGAAUAACUUGCAUUCGAGAUUGCAAUGAGCUUUUAGGUCAAGGUAAUGUGAUAAAGUCCAGCAUCAUGUUGUUAUAGUCAUGCUCGACUCUAGAUCAAAAUUGAUCUUUUAAUUGUUUGUACCAAUAAUCUGAUUUUAUCAAGAUAUACAUGAACCAAGUGUAAGUCUUCUUCAUUUGUAUAUGAAGUACUUCGUGCACUUGAACUCAUAUUCGUGUAAAUUUUGGACACGUGAAAGAUUAACUAAUUUCUUGGGAAUUGAAGAUUUG
Molecule: long non-coding RNA, 549 nt
Filed under: Olea europaea subsp. europaea
Lineage: Eukaryota; Viridiplantae; Streptophyta; Magnoliopsida; Lamiales; Oleaceae
Source: RNAcentral